Molecule: long non-coding RNA, 200 nt
Filed under: Elaeis guineensis (African oil palm)
Lineage: Eukaryota; Viridiplantae; Streptophyta; Magnoliopsida; Arecales; Arecaceae
Description: long non-coding RNA (EGUI_LNC001060)
Source: RNAcentral
CGUGGAUUCAAUUUGGGGCCACGGCCGGGAAUGUGGAUUGACGAGUUUCCUCGUGAUACACAGUAUGUCCACCUGAAAAGCAUGUUCACCAUGUCAUGGGCUACAAACUAGUACUGUCAAAAUAGGCCGGCCCGAUCCGGUCCAUAAGGGCUUAAAAUUUGAUAGGCCGGCUGCUCGGCAUCCUGCUGCUCGGUGGAGGC